AUUUUCUUAACAUACGUCCACUGGCUUUGACCUCCAAUCAAGUUCCUAGAGCUUCCUCCCCGGAAGGUACCCUGAUACUUUUGCCGACUAUGAUAAUAAUAUUUGUGUCACGAUUUGCAGUAUGAAUUGAACUUUGAUUCUUUACCUUCAACGAAUAAUCUACAGUUCCAUUCAUGUUCAAUCAAAAUCUUAAAGUUGGUAAUAAAGGCAAUUCCAUUUUGAGGCCAAUAUUUUAUCAGAAUAUUCUCUUCCAUCAUCUUUUGGUCUGAACUUUUCCAUUGAAAAUUUAUCAUGACAGGGCUUCGUUUUACUCAGAGAUUCAUGGACUGCUCUUCAUUUGAAAUCUAGGGCAAUUGCUAUUCUCUUAUGUUUCGUUUUGAGUUGAUAUGCCGGUAUCAAAUGGGAAAGUUGAGAACGAGAAUUACGUUAGGAACUUGAUGAUUGAAAAAUGAGAUUGUUGAGAAUGUGGUGAUUGUGUUUGGAGAGCUUGGAGAUGAUUUUCAAAUCUUGUGUUUGUUUGUACGAGAGAAUUAUAGUGAUGAUAAUAUAAUGUU
Molecule: long non-coding RNA, 554 nt
Filed under: Cucumis sativus (cucumber)
Lineage: Eukaryota; Viridiplantae; Streptophyta; Magnoliopsida; Cucurbitales; Cucurbitaceae
Description: long non-coding RNA (CSAT_LNC001614)
Source: RNAcentral